Molecule: long non-coding RNA, 836 nt
Organism: Oncorhynchus keta (chum salmon)
Lineage: Eukaryota; Metazoa; Chordata; Actinopteri; Salmoniformes; Salmonidae
Exons: 3
Source: RefSeq, a predicted model, not a curated record
AAGCAUUUCACGGUAAAGUCUACACUGUUGGUUGAGGGCUUGUAAGUAAGCAUUUCACGGUAAAGUCUACACUGUUGGUUAAGGGCUUGUAAGUAAGCAUUUCACGGUAAAGUCUACACUGUUGGUUGAGGGCUUGUAAGUAAGCAUUUCACGGUAAAGUCUACACUGUUGGUUAAGGGCUUGUAAGUAAGCAUUUCACGGUAAAGUCUACACUGUUGGUUAAGGGCUUGUAAGUAAGCAUUUCACGGUAAAGUCUACACUGUUGGUUGAGGGCUUGUAAGUAAGCAUUUCACGGUAAAGUCUACACUGUUGGUUAAGGGCUUGUCAGUAAGCAUUUCACGGUAAAGUCUACACUGUUGGUUGAGGGCUUGUAAGUAAGCAUUUCACGGUAAAGUCUACACUGUUGGUUAAGGGCUUGUAAGUAAGCAUUUCACGGUAAAGUCUACACUGUUGGUUAAGGGCUUGUAAGUCAGCAUUUCACGGUAAAGUCUACACUGUUGGUUAAGGGCUUGUAAGUAAGCAUUUCAUGGUAAGGUCUACACUGUUGGUUAAGGGCUUGUAAGUAAGCAUUUCAUGGUAAGGUCUACACUGUUGGUUAAGGGCUUGUAAGUAAGCAUUUCAUGGUAAGGUCUACACUGUUGGUUAAGGGCUUGUAAGUAAGCAUUUCAUGGUAAGGUCUACACUGUUGGUUAAGGGCUUGUAAGUAAGCAUUUCAUGGUAAAGUCUACACUGUUGGUUAAGGGCUUGUAAGUCAGCAUUUCACGGUAAAGUCUACACUGUUGGUUGAGGGCUUGUAAGUAAGCAUUUCAUGGUAAGGUCUACACUGUUGGUUAAGG